AGCGAACGUUGGCGGCGCGCUUAACACAUGCAAGUCGUACGCGAAAGGGGGCAACCCUGAGUAGAGUGGCGCACGGGUGCGUAACACGUAGGCAAUCUGCCCUAUGGAGGGGGAUAACCAUCCGAAAGGAUGGCUAAUACCGCGUAAGACCACGACUGCUUCGGCAGAUGCGGUCAAAGUUGGCCUCUACUUGUAAGCUAACACCAAAGGACGAGCCUGCGGCCCAUCAGCUAGUUGGUAGGGUAACGGCCUACCAAGGCUAAGACGGGUAGCUGGUCUGAGAGGAUGAUCAGCCACACUGGCACUGAAACACGGGCCAGACUCCUACGGGUGGCAG
RNAcentral lists this ribosomal RNA (337 nucleotides) under uncultured Pseudomonadota bacterium. RNAcentral's name for it is "bacterial SSU rRNA". It matches the Rfam family "Bacterial small subunit ribosomal RNA", at positions 29 to 351 of the family's 1533-position model. Lineage: Bacteria; Pseudomonadati; Pseudomonadota. The record is from RNAcentral.